CAGCCGCCGCGGUAAUACGUAGGUGGCAAGCGUUGUCCGGAAUUAUUGGGCGUAAAGGGCUCGCAGGCGGUUUCUUAAGUCUGAUGUGAAAGCCCCCGGCUCAACCGGGGAGGGUCAUUGGAAACUGGGAAACUUGAGUGCAGAAGAGGAGAGAGGAAUUCCACGUGUAGCGGUGAAAUGCGUAGAGAUGUGGAGGAACACCAGUGGCGAAGGCGACUCUCUGGUCUGUAACCGACGCUGAGGAGCGAAAGCGUGGGGAGCGAACAGGAUUAGAGACCCCCGUAGUCCCUGUCUCUUAUAC
This 301-nucleotide ribosomal RNA is filed under the name uncultured bacterium. Its description in RNAcentral is "partial 16S ribosomal RNA". It matches the Rfam family "Bacterial small subunit ribosomal RNA", at positions 509 to 807 of the family's 1533-position model. The record is from RNAcentral.